CAAUUUACAAUUCGCAAUAAAGCAUGGUUCGCAAAUAAUAUAAUAACUUUCAUGCAACAUAUAAUGCACACAUAACACAGUUCGCAUAUCAUUCAUGGCAUAGAUUACAUAAAUCAUUGUUCGCAUAUUUUAUUUAGCAUAGGGCACACAAUAGCUUAGCUUACAUACAAUACAACACAAAAUAUCACAAUACACAAUUUGGCAAAUUAAUAUCGUUCGCCAUAUUAAUACAAAUCACCAAAUUAACACAGUUCGCCAUAAUAAUAUAAUUCGC
RNAcentral lists this long non-coding RNA (274 nucleotides) under Gossypium raimondii (Peruvian cotton). RNAcentral's name for it is "long non-coding RNA (GRAI_LNC002782)". Lineage: Eukaryota; Viridiplantae; Streptophyta; Magnoliopsida; Malvales; Malvaceae. The record is from RNAcentral.